CCCCGACUCCAGCAGCGCGCCCAGCAGCUCCACCUGGAGAUGGCUCAGCUUCGACACCAUGGUCUCCAGCCUGGGGUCGCCCGGUUGGGGUCUCGGCUCGUCCUGCCGCCGCCUCCCUACACCAUGUUCCCGAGACGGCGUCCGCAGCCGAGGGCCAGCUCCCCUGGCCGCAGCAAGUUGAGAGGGCUCAGACGGGGCUCCAGAAGCCUCCCUCCGUCUGCCGAAACGGGAGUAUCAGUUCAGAGUCCGUGUGAAAACAUUUAGUGUAAAAAACAUCUUUAGUUUCUAAAGACUUCAUUAUUUUUGUAGCAGGUUUAAUAAAAAACAUUUAAAAAUGUUCAGCUUUUUUUGCAUUGUCCCAUGUUUUGAUAUAAUUCCUGUGCAUUUUACUUUUGAUUACAAUUUUCCUCAUUCCCCCCAUCAGGUGGUAGAGAGGCUAACGACGCUGGCUGAUAACAGUCAUUGCCCGCUGUAAUGACAGUUCCCAACCAUGAUGCAUGGUUUCUGCAUGAUGCAGCCUUGUAAUUCAAGGGUUUUGCAUACAGAGACAACAGAUUGUGGGCUCACUGCAGUAUGGGACAGGGAAGAUGCUGCUGUAUCAUGUUACUUACUUCUGCCUUUUUGUGCACAGUGAUUUCUUUUACCUAAACUAAAAAGGAUGGAAAAUACUAACAUUGUUUUCAUUUAUAGACUAUCCAGUCUAUCUUCUGUGAAUAUAUAUUUCCACUGUAUGCUUGCAGGAAAAAAAAAUAGUGCAGUUUAGACAAAGAGCAGCAAUAUUUGUCAAGGGAAACUGUAAAGAAGGAAAAAACGUAGCAACAAAUUACCUGUAUUUAUCAUGUGGUUGUAAGGAUUCCUCACGCACCAGACGCUCCCUCCCUCUUGGUUCUGCUUGCCCUGGAGGCCUGCAGCUACAGAUGCUUUUAGAACGGCCUCUCUUGAAACCAAUGAACUUUAAAGGCCAUAAACCCAGAAAUGAACAUCUGCCUGUAUGUGAGGACCUGCAGGAUGCUGCAGCUGGAUACCAGGUGAGGAAUCCUGAGUUUAAUGUGGAAACCUUUCAGAGACUGAGGAAGAGGUAAAUGUUCUCUGCCCCUUUAUCCUGAAGAUCUUUUUCCCUUGAUCUAUUAGACUUGCCCAUCUUAAAUGCCAGGAGCCUGGACAAUCAGGGAAGAGGUAAACUUGCCUUAAAACCUUCUACACUGUCAUUUUUAUAUUCACUGUAACCUGCCAAACCAGAUAUGCUAGCAAAUGAUUCAACACUCCAUUAAGUAUCUAAUUCAGAUCCUUUGAUGCAAGAAAACCAGUGUUUCUCAGACGUUACAAAUUGCUAGCGAUGAGAACAGACAACUGGGAGGUAGGAAGGAGACCACUGCUAGGAAUUAACCAGCAUCCCUGUUUUACAUGUUGGCACUGAGGGUUGCAAUCUCAGAUUAUUACAACUGCCACACUACCCUGCUGGGAGGUAAUGAGGGUAGUGGAGGUCGGGGUGGAAGCUGCAGAGCGUUAGCCAGCUGGAUUAUAGCUCUAGCAGUAGGGCAAGAGCUGAACUGUGGAGUACCAUAAUCCAAACAACAUACUCCCGUAACCAAAUUGUGCCUUGUGGAUUUUGCCUUGAGAAGGAAUGUUUGCCAGAAAAGGACUUGGUUUUGCUGUACCCAUUUUCAUUUAGUAUCAGUUGGUUUUGUUGAUUUUCUUACUUGCAAAAACUUACUGGGGCAUGUCUUGAUUCUGAAGUCAACCUGAAUAACACGAUGUUGGUAGUUGUAAUGGAGAGGCAGUUUCUGAAGUAUGAAAGCCCCGAGCGAUACCUGCCUCCUUCUCAUGUUGGUCUGCAGUACCUGGUUUUGUAUUCUUUUCUCCUGCAAACUUAUUUUUCAUUAAGCGUAACUAGUAUGGUGGUCGAGACCCCUCAAAUUCAAUAGGUCGGUAACAAGGAAUAAGCAGCUUUACAACAAUAAACUGGUAAGCUUAACAGAAAGCUCAUGAAAAAUGUUUUACUUCCAAAAUGGUUUGGA
Long non-coding RNA from Dromaius novaehollandiae (emu), 2018 nucleotides. RefSeq lists it as uncharacterized. The record is from RefSeq and is a predicted model, not a curated record. Lineage: Eukaryota; Metazoa; Chordata; Aves; Casuariiformes; Dromaiidae. The transcript has 2 exons.